AAAUGGAAGCUCAAAUGACAUAUAUACAUGUGACUACAUGUGUACAAAAUAUUGGAACAAAAUUCAAAUGGGAGAAUUAAAAAUCAAAUCUUAACAAAUAAAAUUAGGUUAAUUAGACAUAAUUAUAUACAAAAAUAAAAACAAUUAAUAAAAUAAAUCAAAAAUCAAAAAUAAAAAUAUGGAAAAAUAAAUAAAACUCAAAAGAUCACUCAUGAAUUAAUUGGAUAUUUUUAGAUUAGUGGGGGUAUUUUAAAU
RNAcentral lists this long non-coding RNA (255 nucleotides) under Lathyrus oleraceus (garden pea). Its description in RNAcentral is "Pisum sativum (pea) long non-coding RNA (PSAT_LNC037029)". The record is from RNAcentral. Lineage: Eukaryota; Viridiplantae; Streptophyta; Magnoliopsida; Fabales; Fabaceae.